GUCCAUGCCGUAAACGUUGGGCACUAGGUGUGGGGCCUGUUUCCACGGGUUCUGCGCCGUAGCUAACGCAUUAAGUGCCCCGCCUGGGGAGUACGGCCGCAAGGCUAAACUCAAGGAAUUGACGGGGCCCGCACAAGCGGUGGAUGAUGUUCUUUAAUUCGAUGCAACGCGAAACCUUACCCACCUUUGACAUGUAUGGAAGAUCGCAGAGACGCGAUUGUGCUCGAAAGAGAGCCAUAACACAGGUGCUGCAUGGCUGUCGU
RNAcentral lists this ribosomal RNA (263 nucleotides) under uncultured bacterium. RNAcentral's name for it is "partial 16S ribosomal RNA". It matches the Rfam family "Bacterial small subunit ribosomal RNA", at positions 793 to 1055 of the family's 1533-position model. The record is from RNAcentral.